RNA transcript from Dipodomys spectabilis (banner-tailed kangaroo rat), 1967 nucleotides. It is a transcript of the gene named G protein-coupled receptor 183, with no coding region annotated. NCBI's taxonomy places the organism in Eukaryota, Metazoa, Chordata, Mammalia, Rodentia, Heteromyidae. The transcript is spliced from 3 exons. The record is from RefSeq and is a predicted model, not a curated record.
AAGGAUGUCAGCACAGUCUCUUAAAGCAACAUGCCACACUUAACUUGCUUCAGCUUGGGCAAAUACUGACUGCUGCUACAGAGGCCCUCAGAAGCCGUUGGUGGCAACCCUGACCUUGACCUCCACUGCUGGACAUAGAAAUGGCUAACAAUGUUACUAUACCCUCAACAACUCAUCAGGGAAAUUAUUGUGAUCUCUAUGCUCACCACAACACAGCUAGAAUACUAAUGCCUGUGCAUUACAGCCUUGUCUUUAUCAUUGGGCUGAUGGGAAACUUGUUGGCCUUGGUUGUCAUUGUUCAAAACAGGAAAAAAAUCAACUCUACCACCCUCUACUCAACAAAUUUAGUGAUUUCUGACAUCCUGUUUACCACUGCUUUGCCCACUCGGAUAGCCUACUAUGCACUGGGCUUUGACUGGAAAAUAGGUGACGCCUUGUGCAGGAUAAGUGCUCUUGUGUUCUACAUCAACACAUAUGCAGGUGUAAACUUUAUGACCUGCCUAAGUAUUGACCGUUUCUUUGCUGUGGUGCACCCUCUGCGUUACAACAAGAUCAAAAGAAUUGAAUAUGCAAAGGGUGUUUGCAUAUUUGUCUGGGUACUAGUAUUUGCUCAAACGCUCCCACUACUCAUCAACCCUAUGUCAAAGCAAGAAGCUGGAAGGACUACUUGCAUGGAAUAUCCCAAUUUUGAAGAGACAGAUUCUCUUCCUUGGAUUCUGCUGGGUGCAUGUUUCCUGGGAUAUGUGCUACCACUCCUAAUCAUUCUCAUCUGCUAUUCCCAAAUCUGUUGCAAACUUUUUAGAACUGCUAAAAGGAACCCAUUAACAGAGAAGUCUGGUGUAAACAAAAAGGCACUCAACACCAUUAUCUUUAUCAUCGUUGUAUUUGUUCUCUGCUUCACACCUUACCAUGUUGCAAUUAUUCAACACAUGGUUAAGAAGCUUUGCUCUCCUCAUGUCAUAGAAUGCAGCCAAAGAUACUCUUUCCAGAUUUCUCUUCACUUUACAGUUUGCCUGAUGAACUUCAACUGCUGCAUGGAUCCUUUCAUAUAUUUCUUUGCAUGUAAAGGUUACAAGAGAAAGGUCAUGAAGAUGCUAAAACGGCAAGUCAGCGUAUCAAUUUCCAGUGCUGUGAGGUCAGCCCCUGAUGAAAAUUCACGUGAAAUGACAGAGUCGCAAAUGAUGAUACACUCCAAGUCUUCAAAUGGAAAAUAAAAAGGACCAUACCUUGGACUUCAUAGCAAAGUAAACUGUACAAUGAAUUCUGCAGGACUCCUUUACAAAGAAAAAUGACGAUUUGGCUUUCAAUUAGUAGGCCUUUCACCAUGUAUUAGUCCUCUCCUCUCUACCAGCAUGGAAGAUACACACACACACACACACACAUACACAUAUGUAUGUGUGUGUGUAUAUAUAUAUAUAUAUAUAUGUGUGCAUAUAUAUAUAAUAUCUCCAGGGAACAAUUUAAGCAUGUUUUACUUCAUAAAUGAAAUAAUACUCCAAAACAGAGGUUAUCUUAACAACUCUAAGCAUCUUUACAAAAAAACACAACACAAAAACAAGGAAAAAAAACACCUCUGCAUUCAUUUGGGAGACUGAGCCAUAUGACUACUGCUAGCCAACAACUUGAAAGAACAACGAGGAUGUUCCUUCCAACGCCUUUCCUGCCACAGCGAGCAUUGAUGGGAUCUUCGGGACCUGAUGGGACCUUUGUUAGCCUGAUGUUUGAAUGAUUAAACUACAGGACUCUCACCCCAAGCCCAUCUAUGUUGGACAUACAGCACAAAUAAGUAACAGACAUAUAUUAAGCCACUGGGAUUUCUGGCUGUAUCUGUGGCUCAACCAAAGCUAACCUAGUCUAAUAAGAGUGUUUAACCUACUUUGGCUGAAAAAAAUACAGUGUAAGAUAAGAAAAAUGUAUAUUCUACUCAGUUCUCCUGGUGAACAUACAUAAAUCUUUCCUUAGUCCCA